RNAcentral lists this ribosomal RNA (301 nucleotides) under uncultured bacterium. RNAcentral's name for it is "partial 16S ribosomal RNA". It matches the Rfam family "Bacterial small subunit ribosomal RNA", at positions 509 to 809 of the family's 1533-position model. The record is from RNAcentral.
CAGCAGCCACGGGAAUACGAAGGGUGCAAGCGUUAAUCGGAAUUACUGGGCGUAAAGCGUGCGUAGGCGGUUUGUUAAGUCUGCUGUGAAAUCCCCGGGCUCAACCUGGGAAUGGCAGUGGAUACUGGCAAGCUAGAGUGUGUCAGAGGAUGGUGGAAUUCCCGGUGUAGCGGUGAAAUGCGUAGAGAUCGGGAGGAACAUCAGUGGCGAAGGCGGCCAUCUGGGACAACACUGACGCUGAGGCACGAAAGCGUGGGGAGCAAACAGGAUUAGAUACCCCGGUAGUCCCUGUCUCUUAUAA